UAGGGAAUCUUCGGCAAUGGGGGCAACCCUGACCGAGCAACGCCGCGUGAGUGAAGAAGGUUUUCGGAUCGUAAAGCUCUGUUGUAAGUCAAGAACGGGUGUGAGAGUGGAAAGUUCACACUGUGACGGUAGCUUACCAGAAAGGGACGGCUAACUACGUGCCAGCAGCCGCGGUAAUACGUAGGUCCCGAGCGUUGUCCGGAUUUAUUGGGCGUAAAGCGAGCGCAGGCGGUUUGAUAAGUCUGAAGUUAAAGGCUGUGGCUCAACCAUAGUUCGCUUUGGAAACUGUCAAACUUGAGUGCAGAAGGGGAGGGUGGAAUUCCAUGUGUAGCGGUGAAAUGCGUAGAUAUAUGGAGGAACACAGGUGGCGAAAGCGGCUCUCUGGUCUGUAACUGACGCUGAGGCUCGAAAGCGUGGGGAGCGAACAGG
This 429-nucleotide ribosomal RNA is filed under the name Bacillota bacterium. RNAcentral describes it as "Firmicutes bacterium partial 16S ribosomal RNA". It matches the Rfam family "Bacterial small subunit ribosomal RNA", at positions 355 to 776 of the family's 1533-position model. The record is from RNAcentral. Lineage: Bacteria; Bacillati; Bacillota.